RNAcentral lists this ribosomal RNA (500 nucleotides) under uncultured bacterium. Its description in RNAcentral is "partial 16S ribosomal RNA". It matches the Rfam family "Bacterial small subunit ribosomal RNA", at positions 29 to 523 of the family's 1533-position model. The record is from RNAcentral.
AACGAACGCUGGCGGCAUGCCUAACACAUGCAAGUCGAACGGCAGCACGGACUUCGGUCUGGUGGCGAGUGGCGAACGGGUGAGUAAUAUAUCGGAACGUGCCCAGUCGUGGGGGAUAACGUAGUGAAAAUUACGCUAAUACCGCAUACGAUCUACGGAUGAAAGCGGGGGAUCGCAAGACCUCGCGCGAUUGGAGCGGCCGAUAUCAGAUUAGGUAGUUGGUGGGGUAAAGGCUCACCAAGCCAACGAUCUGUAGCUGGUCUGAGAGGACGACCAGCCACACUGGGACUGAGACACGGCCCAGACUCCUACGGGAGGCAGCAGUGGGGAAUUUUGGACAAUGGACGCAAGUCUGAUCCAGCCAUUCCGCGUGCAGGACGAAGGCCUUCGGGUUGUAAACUGCUUUUGUACAGAACGAAAAGGUUUCUAUUAAUACUAGGAGCUCAUGACGGUACUGUAAGAAUAAGCACCGGCUAACUACGUGCCAGCAGCCGCGGUAA